RNAcentral lists this ribosomal RNA (403 nucleotides) under uncultured bacterium. RNAcentral describes it as "partial 16S ribosomal RNA". It matches the Rfam family "Bacterial small subunit ribosomal RNA", at positions 28 to 526 of the family's 1533-position model. The record is from RNAcentral.
GACGAACGCUGGCGGCGUGCCUAAUACAUGCAAGUCGAACGCAGUGGGGACGGGUGAGUAACACGUGGGUAACCUCCCAUCAGAGGGGAUAACACUUGGAAACAGGUGCUAAACCGCUACUGAUGGAUGUACCCGCGGUGCAUUAGCUAGUUGGUGGGGUAACGGCUCACCAAGGCCACGAUGCAUAGCCGACCUGAGAGGGUGAUCGGCCACACUGGGACUGAGACACGGCCCAGACUCCUACGGGAGGCAGCAGUAGGGAAUCUUCGGCAAUGGACGCAAGCCUGACCGAGCAAUGCCGCGUGAGUGAAGAAGGUCUUCGGAUCGUAAAACUCUGUUGGUAGAGAAGCGGUACCUAACCAGAAAGCCACGGCUAACUACGUGCCAGCAGCCGCGGUAAUAC